CAUAACUGAAGAUUACUAAUGGGUUUAAUGUAGGGUUUUUAACAAGACGUACAUCUCCUCCACCUGGAGCCCAAGUGUCAUAAACACCACCAACAUACAUAGCUUUGGCUACUAAUAAAAACGCUCCAAUUCCUAAUAAACAUAAAUGAAUACCUAAAAUUGUUGUCAUUUUAUUUUUGUCACGCCA
This 187-nucleotide antisense RNA is filed under the name marine metagenome. RNAcentral describes it as "Antisense RNA which regulates isiA expression". It matches the Rfam family "Antisense RNA which regulates isiA expression". The record is from Rfam by way of RNAcentral.